Molecule: small RNA, 1192 nt
Filed under: Pongo abelii (Sumatran orangutan)
Lineage: Eukaryota; Metazoa; Chordata; Mammalia; Primates; Hominidae
Description: processed transcript
Source: RNAcentral
UAGAUCUAAAAAUAGUAAGGCAAUCCUAGGCUGUCCUAAUAUUAAUGUAGAAAGUGUUUUCUGAGAAGUCUCCCUAUAAAUCUUGGAAUUAUCUCAUGUUGUAGCUGGAAGGAUCUAGGGUCAUCUACUCCAGUAGUGUCUAAUUUGAAUGUCUUUUGAGGCCAGACAGAGAACUUCAGCCAACAAGUCUUCAGGUGCUCCUUCCUAUAGCAGAUGGUCCAGUUCACAGCCACAUCAGGAUAAAUAUAGGCUGAAUCUGGGAGAAAUACACAUUUUUCCUCACAGAUCACAACCACAGAAGGUAAAAAAGGAGAAAGAUACAGAGAUUCUUAAGAAAUAACAAGCAAACGAGUCUAGCUCCACAGUGAGAGCCUAUCAAACUAGUAAGUCACGAGUGACCAUGAGCCCUGGCUUCAGCUCCCAGUGGAACAGCAGCCAACCAGCCUGGAAUACAUACACCUUUCCAAGAGCCAGCCUGCACUACCAGUCCCAUGCCAGCUAUACCUACUGUACUGGACACCCUGCUGAUAAUCAAAGCAAAGAAGCCAUUUUUCACCUCUUUUCCAUUAUAAAUUAUCCCUUAGUAAUCCUUUUGUGAUUUUUGUAUUGGAAAUUGAGGGUUGGCUAAUUGAAGUUGGAUGUUCAGGGCAGAGUGUUGCAGCAUGUCCCAAUUUGUUGCCUUGUUUCUCUCUUCUCUCUUUCUAUGAUCUAUGGAGACUCCAAAAAGUUAUCUGGGGAAAAACAAUGGCACAUUUAACUCAGAUUCUAUUUCAGACAAGCUUAUCAAAGAAUUUCUGUGGAACAAGUACAGUGUUAUUCCUGACAGAAUUCUGUCGAGAUAGAUAGGACACAUAGGACUUAUCAAAGAGGGAAGCCCAUCACCUUUAUUAGUCUGGAACUUCCUUUUCUUCAAUCAACAGCAUAUGUGAACUUUCUUUUCAUGCUAGAAAUAUAGAAUAUAUCUUCCUUUUGAUUUUUGCAUAAAGUAUAAUAAUAUAGCUUUAUAAUAAAGUAUUUAAAUCUUCCCUUAUUAGGAACCAAAAGGUGUUUUCCAGUUGUUCUUUAAUUUCAUAAUGAUAUAAUGAAUGUGGGUGUAUGUAACACAGUGUAUAUAUGUGUAUGUGUAUAUGUACAUGUCAUUAUGUAUAUAUCUCCAUAUGUUUGUGAUAUGGCUUUUUUAUAAUUGUAUUAG